UGGGAAAUAGCUUGAGUUAGAUUAGGGAAAAGGGAGAUUAAUUUUGUAUAUGCAUGUUAGGUGUUUGAAAAAAUGCCUAAGUCAAAAACCGAAUUAAAGUACCCAUUAUUGUGCAUUUUGUUUGUUAAAAUAGAUGAUUAUGGUUAGUGCAAGCCCUAAAAACGUGAUGUUGCUCAAGCAUUUUGGGAGUUUGAACUUUAGAAGCAUAUGAAUAAUUUUUCUUCAUUUUGGACUGUUUUAUUUUAAUUUUGUCACAUUUGUUGUUGCUUUUAUUGAUUUCAGUUCAUAGUUAGGUUGUAAAAAUCACAAGGAGUGUUGUAGUAUAUUUUUUUAUAAUUUUUAGUGAAAGAUAUGGUGAUUUUAAAAAAAUAAAAACUGGUCUGUCUUUUGCUUUUUUGGCCACUUUAGGGUCAAUUUUUGUUAAAACUAAGCCCAAAAAUUAAAUCUAAGCGAAAAAUGGAGUGAGAAGGUGUAUUUUAAGAAAUUUUGGCGACCGGAAAAUUCGCCGAUGGCGGGCCGCCAGCUGAAGAAGCUUUAGCUAGCCGAAGAAGAUGGGAAGGAAACGGCUGGAAGUGGAGGAAGAAGAAAGAAAGAAAAGAGAAGAAGAAAUAGCAAAGAAAGGAAAGAAAAGGAAAAAAUGAAAGUGGGUUGGGCUAAUUUUUUUAGUUGGCUUGUUUCUUAGUUUCGGUUGGGCUAGAAGGUCAGACCCAUGCUUUAUUUUUUGUUAGGUUUGAGUGAUAGAAGACGGGCUGGCCUGUGUGUUCUGGCUUGGACUUUCGGCUGGGUUUAGGUAGUGUUCGACCCAAAGAAAUAAAAUGAUGGCCCAGUGACCUGAUUUGUUAAGGAGUAAGAAAACGUUUUUGCAUAUUAGUUCUUGUACUUUCAAGUAUUUAUACUAUGGCCCAGAACAUCUUAAAUUGCUUUCACUUUGGUCCUUAAAUUAAUUACACUUUGAUCCCUGAAUUUUAUCUUUCAUUUAAUUUUGUCCCCUAAACUUUGGAAAAAUAUAAUUUUUGUCCUCAAAAGUUUUUCAAUUUUUACAAUUCAGUCCCUGG
This 1055-nucleotide long non-coding RNA is filed under the name Coffea arabica (coffee). RNAcentral's name for it is "long non-coding RNA (CARA_LNC002926)". Lineage: Eukaryota; Viridiplantae; Streptophyta; Magnoliopsida; Gentianales; Rubiaceae. The record is from RNAcentral.